UGUGGGUUCCAGCCUUCUUUCCCAUCACUAUACUUCCUUCGGAUUCCUUUCUGAGUUGCUCCCAUAUUCGUUUACUCAAAGCCAACACUGGAAUCAUGUAACUGAAGAUAAAUCUGCAGCAGUGUCGAGGAUGGACUGGAAGGUUAAGCCUAGAGGUGGGGAGACGUGGAGGAUAUUGUCCAAGGUCAGCGAGCUGUAUCACCUCUUCAGUGAGAUCCAGUUCCCUAAAAGACGAGAGAAAGCAUUGCAGUAGCUUCCUUCUUCUGCUUGGAGGAUGGAGAGAGGGAAAUAUAAAUGGCCUCACUAACUUCUUGAAACUAGAGAGGCCAGGCAGAGGGGCAGCAGAGCAGGGGAUUAAAUGCUUGGAUUCUCGGUUCUACCUUUUGCUAUCCACGUGGCCUUGCCUCAGCUUCCUCAAAGAUGGUGAUAACUGUACCUCCCCGGCAGUGAUGCAGUGAGGGGCAGCGGAGUCCACACGCGUACAGCGCUUGGCACAACGAUGAGGCGCCCUGAGCACUUGGUAAUUGUUGGCAGCGGUUAUUAUUUUUUUGGUUUUUUGGUUUUUUUUUUUUUGCGAUAUGCGGGCCUCUCACUGUUGUGGCCUCUCCCGUUGCGGAGCACAGGCUCCAGACGCGCAGGCUCAGUAGUUGUGGCUCACGGGCCUAGCCGCUCCGCGGCAUGUGGGAUCUUCCCAGACCAGGGCACGAACCCGCAUCCCCUGCAUCGGCAGGCGGACUCUCAACCACUGCGCCACCAGGGA
Orcinus orca (killer whale) is the source of this 760-nucleotide long non-coding RNA. RefSeq lists it as uncharacterized. The transcript is spliced from 4 exons. The record is from RefSeq and is a predicted model, not a curated record. Lineage: Eukaryota; Metazoa; Chordata; Mammalia; Artiodactyla; Delphinidae.